AGGGUCCCAGGCCCUUGCCCAGUGACAAAUGUUCAACGGCCGCGGUAUCCUAACCGUGCGAAGGUAGCGUAAUCACUUGUUCUUUAAAUGAGGACUAGUAUGAAUGGCACCACGAGGGUUGCACUGUCUCCUUUCCCUAAUCAAUGAAACUAAUCUCCCCGUGAAGAAGCGGGGGUACUAAUAUAAGACGAGAAGACCCUAUGGAGCUUUAAAUUUCUCUUCAAACGCCAGACACAAACAUCUGACACUUUACAUUAACCCGACGCCUUGAAGAUGAAUUUUAGGUUGGGGUGACCAUGGAGAACAAAAUAACCUCCACGCUGAAAAGGCCUCCAAGCCUUGAGCCGAGGGCUACAACCCAACGCACUAAAAAAUUAACACCCAUUGACCCAAUAUUUUUGAUCAACGAACCAAGUUACCCUAGGGAUAACAGCGCAAUCUACUUCAAGAGUCCCUAUCGACAAGUGGGUUUACGACCUCGAUGUUGGAUCAGGGUAUCCCAGUGGUGCAGCCGCUACUAAAGGUUCGUUUGUUCAACGAUUAAAACCCUACGUGAUCUGAGUUCAGACCGGA
Molecule: ribosomal RNA, 573 nt
Filed under: Scinax fuscovarius (snouted treefrog)
Lineage: Eukaryota; Metazoa; Chordata; Amphibia; Anura; Hylidae
Description: partial 16S ribosomal RNA
Rfam family: Bacterial large subunit ribosomal RNA
Source: RNAcentral